Molecule: ribosomal RNA, 465 nt
Filed under: Vreelandella stevensii
Lineage: Bacteria; Pseudomonadati; Pseudomonadota; Gammaproteobacteria; Oceanospirillales; Halomonadaceae
Description: partial 16S ribosomal RNA
Rfam family: Bacterial small subunit ribosomal RNA
Source: RNAcentral
CCUACGGGUGGCAGCAGUGGGGAAUAUUGGACAAUGGGCGAAAGCCUGAUCCAGCCAUGCCGCGUGUGUGAAGAAGGCCUUCGGGUUGUAAAGCACUUUCAGUGGGGAAGAAAGCCUUGGGGCUAAUACCCUCGAGGAAGGACAUCACCCACAGAAGAAGCACCGGCUAACUCCGUGCCAGCAGCCGCGGUAAUACGGAGGGUGCGAGCGUUAAUCGGAAUUACUGGGCGUAAAGCGCGCGUAGGCGGUCUGAUAAGCCGGUUGUGAAAGCCCCGGGCUCAACCUGGGAACGGCAUCCGGAACUGUCAGGCUAGAGUGCAGGAGAGGAAUGUAGAAUUCCCGGUGUAGCGGUGAAAUGCGUAGAGAUCGGGAGGAAUACCAGUGGCGAAGGCGGCCUUCUGGACUGACACUGACGCUGAGGUGCGAAAGCGUGGGUAGCAAACAGGAUUAGAUACCCUAGUAGUC